CAGCAGCCGCGGUAAUACGAAGGGGGCUAGCGUUGCUCGGAAUUACUGGGCGUAAAGGGAGCGUAGGCGGACAUUUAAGUCAGGGGUGAAAUCCCAGAGCUCAACUCUGGAACUGCCUUUGAUACUGGGUGUCUUGAGUGUGAUGGAGGUAUGUGGAACUCCGAGUGUAGAGGUGAAAUUCGUAGAUAUUCGGAAGAACACCAGUGGCGAAGGCGACAUACUGGAUCAUUACUGACGCUGAGGCUCGAAAGCGUGGGGAGCAAACAGGAUUAGAUACCCUGGUAGUCCACGCUGUAAACGAUGAGUGCUAGUUGUCGGCAUGCAUGCAUGUCGGUGACGCAGCUAACGCAUUAAGCACUCCGCCUGGGGAGUACGGUCGCAAGAUUAAAACUCAAAGGAAUUGACGG
RNAcentral lists this ribosomal RNA (407 nucleotides) under uncultured bacterium. RNAcentral describes it as "bacterial SSU rRNA". It matches the Rfam family "Bacterial small subunit ribosomal RNA", at positions 509 to 916 of the family's 1533-position model. The record is from RNAcentral.